AUUGAACGCUGGCGGCAUGCCUUACACAUGCAAGUCGAACGGCAGCACGGGUGCUUGCCCCUGGUGGCGAGUGGCGAACGGGUGAGUAAUACAUCGGCACAUGUCCUGUAGUGGGGGAUAGCCCGGCGAAAGCCGGAUUAAUACCGCAUACGAUCUACGGCUGAAAGCGGGGGACCUUCGGGCCUCGCGCUAUCGGGUUGGCCGAUGGCUGAUUAGCUAGUUGGUGGGGUAAAGGCCUACCAAGGCGACGAUCAGUAGCUGGUCUGAGAGGACGACCAGCCACACUGGAACUGAGACACGGCCCAGACUCCUACGGGAGGCAGCAGUGGGGAAUUUUGGACAAAGGGCGAAAGCCUGAUCCAGCAAUGCCGCGUGUGUGAAGAAGGCCUUCGGGUUGUAAAGCACCUUUGUCCGGAAAGAAAUCCUUGGCCCUAAUACGGUCGGGGGAUGACGGUACCGGAAGAAUAAGCACCGGCUAACUACGUG
This 486-nucleotide ribosomal RNA is filed under the name uncultured bacterium. Its description in RNAcentral is "partial 16S ribosomal RNA". It matches the Rfam family "Bacterial small subunit ribosomal RNA", at positions 30 to 507 of the family's 1533-position model. The record is from RNAcentral.